UACGUAGGGUGCAAGCGUUUUCCGGAUUUAUUGGGUUUAAAGGGUGCGUAGGUGGCUGAUUAAGUCAUGGGUGAAAGCCCGCAGCUCAACUGUGGAAUUGCCUGUGAUACUGAUUAGCUUGAGUGCGGUUGAGGCAGCUGGAAUUGGUGGUGUAGCGGUGAAAUGCAUAGAUACCACCAGGAACACCGAUUGCGAAGGCAGGUUGCUAAGCCGUAACUGACACUGAGGCACGAAAGCGUGGGGAGCAAACAGG
Molecule: ribosomal RNA, 253 nt
Filed under: uncultured bacterium
Lineage: Bacteria
Description: partial 16S ribosomal RNA
Rfam family: Bacterial small subunit ribosomal RNA
Source: RNAcentral